CAUGCAAGUCGAGCGGACAGAAGGGAGCUUGCUCCCGGAUGUUAGCGGCGGACGGGUGAGUAACACGUGGGUAACCUGCCUGUAAGACUGGGAUAACUCCGGGAAACCGGAGCUAAUACCGGAUAGUUCCUUGAACCGCAUGGUUCAAGGAUGAAAGACGGUUUCGGCUGUCACUUACAGAUGGACCCGCGGCGCAUUAGCUAGUUGGUGGGGUAAUGGCUCACCAAGGCGACGAUGCGUAGCCGACCUGAGAGGGUGAUCGGCCACACUGGGACUGAGACACGGCCCAGACUCCUACGGGAGGCAGCAGUAGGGAAUCUUCCGCAAUGGACGAAAGUCUGACGGAGCAACGCCGCGUGAGUGAUGAAGGUUUUCGGAUCGUAAAGCUCUGUUGUUAGGGAAGAACAAGUGCGAGAGUAACUGCUCGCACCUUGACGGUACCUAACCAGAAAGCCACGGCUAACUACGUGCCAGCAGCCGCGGUAAUACGUAGGUGGCAAGCGUUGUCCGGAAUUAUUGGGCGUAAAGGGCUCGCAGGCGGUUUCUUAAGUCUGAUGUGAAAGCCCCCGGCUCAACCGGGGAGGGUCAUUGGAAACUGGGAAACUUGAGUGCAGAAGAGGAGAGUGGAAUUCCACGUGUAGCGGUGAAAUGCGUAGAGAUGUGGAGGAACACCAGUGGCGAAGGCGACUCUCUGGUCUGUAACUGACGCUGAGGAGCGAAAGCGUGGGGAGCGAACAGGAUUAGAUACCCUGGUAGUCCACGCCGUAAACGAUGAGUGCUAAGUGUUAGGGGGUUUCCGCCCCUUAGUGCUGCAGCUAACGCA
This 823-nucleotide ribosomal RNA is filed under the name Bacillus sp. BAB-3249. RNAcentral describes it as "bacterial SSU rRNA". It matches the Rfam family "Bacterial small subunit ribosomal RNA", at positions 54 to 859 of the family's 1533-position model. Lineage: Bacteria; Bacillati; Bacillota; Bacilli; Caryophanales; Bacillaceae. The record is from RNAcentral.